CUAGCGGCGGACGGGUGAGUAACGCGUGGGAACGUGCCCUUUGCUACGGAAUAGCCUCUGGAAACGGAGAGUAAUACCGUAUGUGCCCUUCGGGGGAAAGAUUUAUCGGCAAAGGAUCGGCCCGCGUUGGAUUAGGUAGUUGGUGGGGUAAUGGCCCACCAAGCCGACGAUCCAUAGCUGGUUUGAGAGGAUGAUCAGCCACACUGGGACUGAGACACGGCCCAGACUCCUACGGGAGGCAGCAGUGGGGAAUCUUAGACAAUGGGGGCAACCCUGAUCUAGCCAUGCCGCGUGAGUGAUGAAGGCCUUAGGGUUGUAAAGCUCUUUCAGCUGGGAAGAUAAUGACGGUACCAGCAGAAGAAGCCCCGGCUAACUCCGUGCCAGCAGCCGCGGUAAUACGGAGGGGGCUAGCGUUGUUCGGAAUUACUGGGCGUAAAGCGCACGUAGGCGGACUGGAAAGUUGGGGGGUGAAAUCCCGGGGCUCAACCUCGGAACUGCCUU
This 501-nucleotide ribosomal RNA is filed under the name bacterium EP1.39. Its description in RNAcentral is "bacterial SSU rRNA". It matches the Rfam family "Bacterial small subunit ribosomal RNA", at positions 92 to 627 of the family's 1533-position model. The record is from RNAcentral.